GCCCGGACCGGUACUGCCCCGGCCCCCGCCCCUAGGCCGGGGGUCACGGCAUCCGGGGGGACGCGCAGCCGCCGCCGCGGCCCGGGGCUCGGCGGUCCAGUCUUCUGCCCGUGGCGCGGCUGGAGCGGCGGCGUCGGCAACAGAUGAAGAAGACGAGGCUUGAGAGACGAAGGAAUGAAUGAAGGGUCUCACAGCUGUUAGAAGGGUUAGAUCUUGUAUUUGGACUCAGGUCUGCCUGCCCUGGAACUUGACUCUCCCACACCUGGUGCUGGGCACACUAGGAGACGUCACAAGGCUCAGAGAUGCCACCCUUCCUAGAACGGGCGCCGUGCCUCUCUUCUCCACACACUGCAGGGGAGACAGGCACUGUGUUUUCAGAUAAGUUCCAUGUGCAUCAGGGGCUCGGUGGGAAAGGGAGGACACACUCAGAUUAGGAUUAUUCAUGGAGGAUUCUCCAAAGAGGCUAUUUGGAAAGACGGAGGGAAUGGUGAAGGAAAGCACAAGAGAAAAUGGACAGAACCGUUACUUCCUCACGCCUGAAGGGGAUGGGUUACUGGAAGCCAGGAGGAGAGUGUGAUAAGAGCCACUUUUAGAGGAGCUUUCACCUUCAGGAGAAAGUCAGGGCCCAAGAAGACCCACAGGGAGGUGACCAGGGAAUGGCAUACUUGGACUACCCUCUCUUCUGUUCCUCCACUCUCCUGCCAGGGCUCCACAUUGGAUAAACCCCUGCAGGGGCGAGUGAAACUGCCACCCAGGUUUGCCUCCCAGGGCACAGCCCAUGGAGAGCUCUAAGGCAAGUGGCAGAAAACUAGCACAGGUGCAGUGCGUCUUGCAAAGCACCCAGCCUAUGCCGGCCCUGGGCUAGAAAUGGGAAGAGAGGAGACCAUGGCACUGCCCUCAAAGAUCUUAGAGUCUGUGGAGGAGUCAGGCAGAGAGAGGGGGUGUUCCCUUGGCAAAGGACUCCAUGAGCAGAUGCAGGCCAUGGGCGACGCUCCUGCAGAAGCUUUGGGGUUUGCCGCAUGUGCCUGGAAGGAGCGCGCCCACCUUGACAUGCCUCGCCUCCUGUUGCCAUUGACAACGUGAAGGCAAACUCCUGGGGCUGGGCCUUUUUCCUUGAGAUAAAAUAUGUAUAAUUCUCUGUUAUCAAAUGAUUAUUAAACAAAAUCUAAUUGAAAAAAUAGAAAGAAGAAAAGAUAAGUCAUUUAUCAUCCUGUUCUCCAAAGACAACUGUGAACAGCUUGGUGGAACUCCUUCCAGUGGCUUUCCUUGGAGCUUUGCCUCUGUGGAUGUGGAAAACCUUAAGACCUUUGUUGGACCAACUGGGGAAGAAUUUCUUUCCUGCUCAGGCUGCUCAGCUGAUAGAGUGCUGGCCUGGAGCAGCUGAAAGACACUUUGCUGCUUUCUGGAGAAUGAAGCCACUGGGAAACCACAUAGGAGGGAAGAGAGAGACAGCUUCUCGAUGAUGUCAUCUGAACACCUGGAUCCUGCUGUGCCUGGACUUGCAGUCCCAUUGUCUACCAAUAUAGUUCAUUGAAUUCAACUUCAGCUGGAUGUCAUUCAUCUGCUUCCAGAACUUGUGUCUAAUGCAGAGCUGAAUGCAUACUCUCAGAGUUGGAAGUGGAUGCAAUCCACAAAUCUAGCACCCAAAUUUCUUUUUUCUGUUCUUUUUUUUUUUUAAUUUGAGAUGGAGUCUUGCUCUGUCACCCAGGCUGAAGUGUAGUGGCGCAAUCUCAGCUCACUGCAACCUCUGCCUCCCAGAUUCAAGCGAUCCUUCUGCCUCAGCCUCCCGAGUAGCUGGAAUUACAGGCGUGUGCCACCACGGCUGGCCUAAUUUUGGUAUUUUUAGUAGAGAUGGGGUUUCACCAUGUUGGCCAGGCUGAUAUCGAACUCCUGGCCUCAAGUGAUCUACCCCCCUUGGCCUCCCAAAGUGCUGGGAUUACAGGUGUGAACCACCAUGCCCGGCCUCAAAUUGCUUUUACAGAGGCAAGUGGCCACCGAGUCUGUGAUUGGGAUCCUCCUGUGGAGACCUGUGGAGACUCGUGGCUCACUACCUUUGAAGGCAGUGUUAGGGUAAUCUCUCCACAUUUCCCUGCUGAAAGCUCUGAGUGUUAGUAAAUUCCUUCUCAUAUUAGCUAAAAUGUAUUUUCCUGUGCCUUUUAUUCACUGAUGGGGAAUACAAGCAUUCUUUUUGAGGGUGGCCAAUGCUAGUAAUUCCCUCCAUACAGUCAGUGAUGGAUAGAGUUAACCCAUGGUUGCUGCAUGUAGUACUGUCACUUGCUGUACCACCAGGACUCAAGUUGAUGCUCAACGCAACAUUCUUUUGCAGGGCCCUUGUCCUCAGUUUCCCUUCUUUUGGGGUGGGCUGAGAGAGACAGCUUAUUCAGCAUGAAGCUGUAGUAUCUACAGUUUAGCAAAUGUCUGCGGAGCCUUUAAAGCAGUUUUUAUCAUAAUAAAAAUAUUUUAACUUAUAACCCCAGAAAGAGAUAGGCAUGGGAGUCUUUAUACAGCACAGAAAUCCAGAUGAGCAUAAUUUGAAAGUCAUUUGAAUUGUAAUGAGUAUUUUUAAUGUAAACAGGCAGGAGGAAAAACUUGCUGGGUUCUCUUGUAGCACAGACACCCAGAUAUAUGUCUUUUGAUAGUGAUAUUAAAGUGUCAAGGGUGCAUAGGAGGCUGCAGAUGUCAGCGGCAUGAAUGGGCAAGGCAAUUUCUGUGGUUGCAGGCUGGAGGUUCCAGCAGGAAUAGAAAGGCAAUCUCUGUGCUAGAUGGCCCAGGGUCACUGCAAGUCUAGCUCCUAAAUGAAAAUCAGGGACAAGAUGUGGCCUGUAACCACAGUCACUGCUCUUCGUAAGGCUGGUGGAAAGGUGAACUGGAAAGGUUUUUAGGGUUAGGGAGAUACAGGAACUCCCAAACAUCAGGCACCUGAUAGCACUCUCCACCUAACAUCUGCAUUUAUAUUGACCUAAUGCAUCUGUUCAAUUUGUCUCAUUCUUUGUGCUCACACACAUUUAUUUGAAACAAAACUUUCCAUCAUUACUAUAGGUGAAAAUCCUUGAUCACUUGCCUUGAAUACAAGAAACCAUUAUUAAAUGCAAGCUAGAUAAUUUUGCUUGUCUUACAGCCAUGAGCCUUAAGUCUGUUCCCCCCACCCCCCCCCCCCCCCGCCUUUUUUUUUUGUUAAAAAGAUGAGCAAAAUGUGAGAAUGAUGCAAAAGAGAUCCUGGU
RNAcentral lists this long non-coding RNA (3221 nucleotides) under Homo sapiens (human). RNAcentral describes it as "HSALNT0397251". Lineage: Eukaryota; Metazoa; Chordata; Mammalia; Primates; Hominidae. The record is from RNAcentral.